RNAcentral lists this ribosomal RNA (776 nucleotides) under Lactobacillus sp. LBS-27. Its description in RNAcentral is "bacterial SSU rRNA". It matches the Rfam family "Bacterial small subunit ribosomal RNA", at positions 33 to 779 of the family's 1533-position model. Lineage: Bacteria; Bacillati; Bacillota; Bacilli; Lactobacillales; Lactobacillaceae. The record is from RNAcentral.
ACGCUGGCGGCGUGCCUAAUACAUGCAAGUCGAACGAAACUUUCUUACACCGAAUGCUUGCAUUCACCGUAAGAAGUUGAGUGGCGGACGGGUGAGUAACACGUGGGUAACCUGCCUAAAAGAAGGGGAUAACACUUGGAAACAGGUGCUAAUACCGUAUAUCUCUAAGGAUCGCAUGAUCCUUAGAUGAAAGAUGGUUCUGCUAUCGCUUUUAGAUGGACCCGCGGCGUAUUAACUAGUUGGUGGGGUAACGGCCUACCAAGGUGAUGAUACGUAGCCGAACUGAGAGGUUGAUCGGCCACAUUGGGACUGAGACACGGCCCAAACUCCUACGGGAGGCAGCAGUAGGGAAUCUUCCACAAUGGACGCAAGUCUGAUGGAGCAACGCCGCGUGAGUGAAGAAGGUCUUCGGAUCGUAAAACUCUGUUGUUAGAGAAGAACACGAGUGAGAGUAACUGUUCAUUCGAUGACGGUAUCUAACCAGCAAGUCACGGCUAACUACGUGCCAGCAGCCGCGGUAAUACGUAGGUGGCAAGCGUUGUCCGGAUUUAUUGGGCGUAAAGGGAACGCAGGCGGUCUUUUAAGUCUGAUGUGAAAGCCUUCGGCUUAACCGGAGUAGUGCAUUGGAAACUGGAAGACUUGAGUGCAGAAGAGGAGAGUGGAACUCCAUGUGUAGCGGUGAAAUGCGUAGAUAUAUGGAAGAACACCAGUGGCGAAAGCGGCUCUCUGGUCUGUAACUGACGCUGAGGUUCGAAAGCGUGGGUAGCAACAGGAUA